This 577-nucleotide ribosomal RNA is filed under the name Candida tropicalis. RNAcentral describes it as "eukaryotic LSU rRNA". It matches the Rfam family "Eukaryotic large subunit ribosomal RNA", at positions 62 to 655 of the family's 3401-position model. The record is from RNAcentral. Lineage: Eukaryota; Fungi; Ascomycota; Pichiomycetes; Serinales; Debaryomycetaceae.
AAACCAACAGGGAUUGCCUUAGUAGCGGCGAGUGAAGCGGCAAAAGCUCAAAUUUGAAAUCUGGCUCUUUCAGAGUCCGAGUUGUAAUUUGAAGAAGGUAUCUUUGGGUCUGGCUCUUGUCUAUGUUUCUUGGAACAGAACGUCACAGAGGGUGAGAAUCCCGUGCGAUGAGAUGAUCCAGGCCUAUGUAAAGUUCCUUCGAAGAGUCGAGUUGUUUGGGAAUGCAGCUCUAAGUGGGUGGUAAAUUCCAUCUAAAGCUAAAUAUUGGCGAGAGACCGAUAGCGAACAAGUACAGUGAUGGAAAGAUGAAAAGAACUUUGAAAAGAGAGUGAAAAAGUACGUGAAAUUGUUGAAAGGGAAGGGCUUGAGAUCAGACUUGGUAUUUUGUAUGUUACUUCUUCGGGGGUGGCCUCUACAGUUUAUCGGGCCAGCAUCAGUUUGGGCGGUAGGAGAAUUGCGUUGGAAUGUGGCACGGCUUCGGUUGUGUGUUAUAGCCUUCGUCGAUACUGCCAGCCUAGACUGAGGACUGCGGUUUAUACCUAGGAUGUUGGCAUAAUGAUCUUAAGUCGCCCGUCUA